UACGAAGGGGGCUAGCGUUGCUCGGAAUUACUGGGCGUAAAGGGCGCGUAGGCGGCACUGUUAGUCAGGCGUGAAAUUCCUGGACUCAACCUGGGGACUGCGCUUGAUACGGCAGAGCUUGAGGAUGGAAGAGGGUCGCGGAAUUCCCAGUGUAGAGGUGAAAUUCGUAGAUAUUGGGAAGAACACCGGUGGCGAAGGCGGCGACCUGGUCCAUUACUGACGCUGAGGCGCGACAGCGUGGGGAGCAAACGGG
RNAcentral lists this ribosomal RNA (253 nucleotides) under uncultured bacterium. RNAcentral describes it as "partial 16S ribosomal RNA". It matches the Rfam family "Bacterial small subunit ribosomal RNA", at positions 524 to 776 of the family's 1533-position model. The record is from RNAcentral.